AGGUUAAGUUAAUAAGAGCAUACGGUGGAUGCCUUGGCGCUGAGAGUCGAAGAAGGGCGUGGUAAGCUGCGAAAAGC
RNAcentral lists this ribosomal RNA (77 nucleotides) under Heliorestis acidaminivorans. RNAcentral's name for it is "partial 23S ribosomal RNA". It matches the Rfam family "Bacterial large subunit ribosomal RNA", at positions 1 to 76 of the family's 2925-position model. Lineage: Bacteria; Bacillati; Bacillota; Clostridia; Eubacteriales; Heliobacteriaceae. The record is from RNAcentral.